CGUACCUGAGCCCGUACCGCGGCGGGGAGCGGCUCCGAGGCCGGUGCGGGUUUUGCUAUCUUCAAAAAAGAAUGUAAUUCAAAGCAAGCAAGAGCCUGCAAAGAAAAUACCUCUUCCACAACACUGUAGGCUGUGUUUUGGUGCACUUCACAAGGCAAUUGCUGUAUUUAAUAAUAGUCUGAGCAAUAACCAGCCACCUGGUCUUUAUAUCCCACAGCAAAUUGAUCAUCAUGGUGGGACAGAAGAUGGCAGAUUCUCUCUGCCAGGAAACUCAAGAAAGAGAUGCUUGGAAUGACAGUCUCCACAGCAGCAGCCGGUUUUGCAGCCUCUUGAAGAAGCUGGCUCUUGCUACCAAAAAUGCUGCAAUACAAUAUCCAAAUGCAGAUGCAUUGAGGGAACUUCAGAAUCAAAAUGAUGAGCUGUAUAAAUAUGCACAGUAGUUUAGAGCAACGAUAGAAUGAAAGAUGCUUCAUGGUUUUUAUUUAUUUAUUU
Oxyura jamaicensis (ruddy duck) is the source of this 492-nucleotide long non-coding RNA. RefSeq lists it as uncharacterized. The record is from RefSeq and is a predicted model, not a curated record. The transcript is spliced from 2 exons. NCBI's taxonomy places the organism in Eukaryota, Metazoa, Chordata, Aves, Anseriformes, Anatidae.